CAUAAACGCAUCCAUUAAACGAUCAAAAACGUUCGUUUAGCACCUGGCUGAUAAGGGCACAAGCUCUAAAGGUGUGUUCAGAGUGUGUUCAAGGCGUCAAAGGUUUUAAUGGAGCCACGUUAUCAGCUCAAAAAUAAACACUUGUGAACCAUCAGUUAAAGAGUUCGACCAUCAUUCAGCCGGGGACGCUACCUCCACCGACGUUCUCUGUGGUACCAUAAUCAAUGACAGUGUAAACUCCAGACUUCCAUUAUCUGCAAUAGUUUGGUGACAAAGGGGGCGACAGAGCUGUGCGAUAUAAGCCAGGAUUGACACAGCUCCCCUAUCAUCCUCACCAUUACACCUGACCUCCUUCAUCACUGCUCACUCACUCAUCCCCUCUCCGCCUCUGUGGCCUUCUCCUGCACUUCCUUUCUAUCCCCGCUACAGACC
Long non-coding RNA from Solea senegalensis (Senegalese sole), 432 nucleotides. RefSeq lists it as uncharacterized. The transcript has 4 exons. The record is from RefSeq and is a predicted model, not a curated record. Lineage: Eukaryota; Metazoa; Chordata; Actinopteri; Pleuronectiformes; Soleidae.